This 30-nucleotide non-coding RNA is filed under the name Rattus norvegicus (Norway rat). The record is from RNAcentral. Lineage: Eukaryota; Metazoa; Chordata; Mammalia; Rodentia; Muridae.
UCUACUACACUUGGAUGCACAAUAAAUCCU